ACGAACGCUGGCGGCAUGCCUAACACAUGCAAGUCGAACGAACCCUUCGGGGUUAGUGGCGCACGGGUGCGUAACGCGUGGGAAUCUGCCCUUUGCUUCGGAAUAACUCAGGGAAACUUGUGCUAAUACCGGAUGAUGUCUUCGGACCAAAGAUUUAUCGGCAAGGGAUGAGCCCGCGUAGGAUUAGGUAGUUGGUGGGGUAAAGGCCUACCAAGCCGACGAUCCUUAGCUGGUCUGCGAGGAUGAUCAGCCACACUGGGACUGAGACACGGCCCAGACUCCUACGGGAGGCAGCAGUGGGGGAUAUUGGAAAAUCGGGGCAAGCCUGAACCAGCAAUGCCGCGUGAGUGAUGAAGGCCGUCGGGUCGUAAAGCUCUUUUACCAGGGAUGAUAAUGACAGUACCUGGAGAAUAAGCUCCGGCUAACUCCGUG
RNAcentral lists this ribosomal RNA (432 nucleotides) under uncultured bacterium. RNAcentral describes it as "partial 16S ribosomal RNA". It matches the Rfam family "Bacterial small subunit ribosomal RNA", at positions 29 to 507 of the family's 1533-position model. The record is from RNAcentral.